CAAUAGCGUAUAUUAAAGUUGUUGCAGUUAAAAAGCUCGUAGUUGGAUUUCUGGUGGGAGCGAUCGGUCUGGCGCUUAGCGCGAGUACUUGCAUCGUCUCUGGCCAUCCUUGGGGAAAGUCUGUCUGGCAUUAAGUUGUCGGGCAGAGGAUCCUCAUCGUUUACUGUGAAAAAAUUAGAGUGUUCAAAGCAGGCUUAUGCCGUUGAAUAUAUUAGCAUGGAAUAAUAAGAUAGGACUUUGGUACUAUUUUGUCGGUUUGCGCACCAAAGUAAUGAUUAAUAGGGGCAGUUGGGGGUAUUCGUAUUCCGUUGUCAGAGGUGAAAUUCUUGGAUUUACGGAAGACGAACUACUGCGAAAGCAUUUACCAAGGAUGUUUUCAUUAA
This 383-nucleotide ribosomal RNA is filed under the name uncultured eukaryote. RNAcentral's name for it is "partial 18S ribosomal RNA". It matches the Rfam family "Eukaryotic small subunit ribosomal RNA", at positions 592 to 976 of the family's 1831-position model. The record is from RNAcentral.